AUUGAACGCUGGCGGCAGGCCUAACACAUGCAAGUCGAGCGCGAAAAUUCCUUCGGGGAUGAGUAGAGCGGCGGACGGGUGAGUAAUGCGCAGAAAUCUGCCCAGUAGUGGGGGACAACCUGGUGAAAACCAGGCUAAUACCGCAUACGCCUACCGGGGAAAGGACGAGGGAGUCUUCGGUACCGUUCGUCGCUAUUGGUAUGAGUCUGCGUCGGAUUAGCUUGUUGGUUGAGGUAAUGGCUCACCAAGGCGACGAUCCGUAGCUGGUCUGAGAGGAUGAUCAGCCACACUGGGACUGAGACACGGCCCAGACUCCUACGGGAGGCAGCAGUGGGGAAUAUUGGACAAUGGGGCGAAAGCCUGAUCCAGCCAUGCCGCGUGUGUGAAGAAGGCUCUAGGGUUGUAAAGCACUUUC
This 415-nucleotide ribosomal RNA is filed under the name uncultured bacterium. Its description in RNAcentral is "bacterial SSU rRNA". It matches the Rfam family "Bacterial small subunit ribosomal RNA", at positions 30 to 437 of the family's 1533-position model. The record is from RNAcentral.